UCAUGGGUUUUUCUCAAAACCAACAAAAUGUUAAUAGAAAAAUGAA
Molecule: non-coding RNA, 46 nt
Organism: Drosophila grimshawi
Lineage: Eukaryota; Metazoa; Arthropoda; Insecta; Diptera; Drosophilidae
Source: Rfam